UGUGUGUACAGUACAUGCUACAAGGUAGACAGACAGAUUGGUAGACAGACAAACAUGUAAUUAUACGUCAGAUGAACGGGAGUAUUAACUAGCUUGUUUAGAUACGUCACGUACGUGCUGCGCUCUGGCGGCGAAUAGCAGAGGCUUCCUUGGGGUGGAGUGAGGAACCACCAGUCGGCCCGGGACAUAGCAACUGUACACUUAAGCCUUUGUUUUGAACCUGCGAACACCUUAUCCCUUCGCUUCUACAUUUCACAGCGCCGGAGAGUCGUUAGAAUUGAUCAUGGUGUUUGUCACUUGUCAUGUCAGCUGGCAACCAGUCUGUCAGCCAGUCUGUCAGCCAGCCAGGCAACCAGCCAGCCAGCCAGUCAGUCAGUCAGUCAGUCCGUCAGUCAGCAAGCCACCUCCCCAGGAUUGAUGGGAAGGUCAUGUCAUUUCAUACUUUUCCACACAGGAUAACGAAGGUGCAUGUUGCGUCUGUUGUUUGUAUUGUUUGCUUAUUUACGGACAUGUAUAUAUAAUCUACCAUGUUCUGAUUGAUCAUUGUGUGUGUGUGUGUGUGUGUGUGUGUGUGUGUGUGUGUGUGUGUGUGUGUGUAGAUAAGAAACAGGUAAGCUUCUGAAAAGUUAAGCAAAGUUACAAGGAAAGAAAAAAAAAUCUAACAUUGGUCCAUAAUUAUCAUGAGACAGACAGACAAACAAACAAGCGAAGACACAGACAGACAGAGAGAUAGAGACAGAGAAAAAGGGACAGAGAUAGACAGACGGACAGGCAGGCAGACAGAGACUAACCCAAACAUGCACAGAGAAGAACAAGCCAAAGCCAGAAGAGUAAUCACAAUAUUGAAACUCAUUCAGCUUUAUCAAAUCUUGGACUAGCGGCGUGAUUCGUGUAAUUGUGAGAGAAAGGAAGCACUUCUCUGAUGGUUCUGUCCUCGCUAAUCGCUCUGAGCUCCGAGGCAAAGCUGGGAAUCAAAUAUUUAGAAGCCUCUACUUGGCGAAUAUGAAACGCUGCUGGAAAUUCAGUAAUACAGCGUUCCUCUUACUGUGGCGGUGGCGUUGGUGAUAGUGUGUGGUGGUGGUGGUGGUGAUGAUAGUGCGGUGGUGUGUGGUGGUGAUGGUGUAGUGGUGUGUGGUGAUGGAUGGUGCGUGAGAGUAGUGGUUCAUCCUUCAUCGGGGAGUAAUGAUGAUCCCACCUGCUGUCUGGAAGGAAAGUGACUGAUGGAGGAAUGGUGUUAGUCUGUCCCUAGCCUGUGUUUAGUCCUCAUUGUCUUUUGACGGUGGUGGUGUG
Long non-coding RNA from Scylla paramamosain (green mud crab), 1290 nucleotides. RefSeq lists it as uncharacterized. The record is from RefSeq and is a predicted model, not a curated record. The transcript has 3 exons. Lineage: Eukaryota; Metazoa; Arthropoda; Malacostraca; Decapoda; Portunidae.